AGAUCCAAUCCCAGAAUUCCUGCUCACCUGUAAUCGGAAGUCUACUGGACGAAUGCGGGAACGUUGCGAUAUUUCCUGCUUAAUAUUUUCAGCAUACAUCUCCAGCUGGUUGCAAGGACUUCUGUGGCAAGUUUGUUUUAUUACUUCCAUGCUCUAUGUCUUUGUUGAACUAUCCAAAAUUUGAUUUUGGGCUGUUUAGAAUGUAUUGUUCACAAAUCUGUCUUGUGCAAGUUUCUCUCUGUCUGUGUUUUAGGUUGAAGAUGGCCCAGAGAGGUUAGCCUUACAGUUGCUGAUCUAGAAGCAUUAGGCAAGAGUGUCUGAGAACGAUGAGAGAACUCCCAUUAAUGGGAAUCAAAAGGAAACCCUGAAAUCAUGUUUUAAGGAUGGAAUGACAUGAGUUGUUUCAGAAUUAAUACCAAGAGCUGCAUCAGCUACUGGGUUGGACACCGGUGUCGUAGAAAUAAGAACUGGAUAGGUAAUUACAAAAGAUCACAAAUGACUAAUGCUUCGUCUGAGCCCCGGUCAUCAAAGGCCAAAGUUCACAUUAGAGAGCUGUCGGAUUACAAUCUUUUUUAUAGGGACAUAUUCAAAAACAAAGGCACAAUGAAUGAUAUUAAGGGCAGGUGCGCCACAUUGGGGGAAGAUGCAAAGCAGAAAUACAUUCAAGAGGCAGCAGCACUGAGGGCACAUGGGCAGUCACAGGACACUAAACCCUGAGGUG
This is a long non-coding RNA of Carassius gibelio (silver crucian carp), 721 nucleotides long. RefSeq lists it as uncharacterized. Lineage: Eukaryota; Metazoa; Chordata; Actinopteri; Cypriniformes; Cyprinidae. The transcript has 5 exons. The record is from RefSeq and is a predicted model, not a curated record.